This 649-nucleotide ribosomal RNA is filed under the name uncultured bacterium. RNAcentral's name for it is "bacterial SSU rRNA". It matches the Rfam family "Bacterial small subunit ribosomal RNA", at positions 747 to 1395 of the family's 1533-position model. The record is from RNAcentral.
UCAGAUGCGAAAGCGUGGGUAGCAAACAGGAUUAGAUACCCUGGUAGUCCACGCCGUAAACGCUGUCUACUUGGAGGUUGAGGUUUUAGACUUUGGCUUUCGGCGCUAACGCAUUAAGUAGACCGCCUGGGGAGUACGGCCGCAAGGUUAAAACUCAAAUGAAUUGACGGGGGCCCGCACAAGCGGUGGAGCAUGUGGUUUAAUUCGAUGCAACGCGAAGAACCUUACCUACUCUUGACAUCCAGCGAAGCCUUUAGAGAUAGAGGUGUGCCUUCGGGAGCGCUGAGACAGGUGCUGCAUGGCUGUCGUCAGCUCGUGUUGUGAAAUGUUGGGUUAAGUCCCGCAACGAGCGCAACCCUUAUCCUUGUUUGCCAGCACAUAAUGGUGGGAACUCCAGGGAGACUGCCGGUGAUAAACCGGAGGAAGAUGGGGACGACGUCAAGUCAUCAUGGCCCUUACGAGUAGGGCUACACACGUGCUACAAUGGCAGAUACAGAGGGCAGCGAGACAGCGAUGUUUAGCGAAUCCCUUAAAGUUUGUCGUAGUCCGGAUUGGAGUCUGCAACUCGACUCCAUGAAGUCGGAAUCGCUAGUAAUCGUGGAUCAGAAUGCCACGGUGAAUACGUUCCCGGGCCUUGUACACUCCGCCC